This is a small nucleolar RNA of Rhopalosiphum padi (bird cherry-oat aphid), 69 nucleotides long. The record is from RefSeq and is a predicted model, not a curated record. NCBI's taxonomy places the organism in Eukaryota, Metazoa, Arthropoda, Insecta, Hemiptera, Aphididae.
AUAGAAUGAUGACAAAUUAAUUAUCCUGACAUUCUAUGGAGGGAAAUACUGAUUUAAUGAGUCUGACUG